This is a long non-coding RNA of Gasterosteus aculeatus aculeatus (three-spined stickleback), 12212 nucleotides long. The record is from Ensembl. Lineage: Eukaryota; Metazoa; Chordata; Actinopteri; Perciformes; Gasterosteidae.
AUAUAUAUAUAAUAAUAUUUUCUACCCCAUUAAUGGAGAAAAACGGGUUCAUUACAACAGAGAUGGACUGUCUCGUAGUUUUUAAAUUUAACUUUUAUGAACACAAAUACAAAAACACGCAUACAACACAUUCUGACCUGCAACAAGUCUGAAUGCAAAUGUAUUAACUCCCUGCAUGUGAUGUAUGUAUGUAUGCACAUUUCAGGAUUCAUUAUUAUGUACGUAACAAAUUAGGCUUCAUGAUUUACUAUAUUGUUGUAUACAAUAAAGCAGUUGUGCUAAACAAAUGAAACAGUGUGAAACCAAAGGAUGAACCAAAGGGAAUUCCUACUAAGAGCCCUAAGUGUUGUUAUGAUUACUGUGUGGACAAAGAGAGCAGGGCGAGUGAAUGUGACUGAGGUGUGUGUGUGUGUGUGUGUGUGUGUGAUAUUAAAGCAGGCUUUCGAUAUCUCAAGCUGUCACUCAGGCCGAUUAGGCAAGGCUAACAAAAUUAGUCAUGAAUAUGCAGUAAUAACAUGCAAAUUGCCACUCCUUCCCCCUGCCCCGUGUGUGAGAGUGUGUGUGUGUGUUGUGUGUUUGUGUGAGCUGCUGUGUGUGUGUUGCCCUCAGGGCCACAGACAUUGGCUCCUGUAAACCCAAUUCUUUCUACAUCAUUACAGCAACAAGACAUAAUUCAUAAGAAUAAUAUAAACAUGCAUGUAGCCUGGCAUACACAGACAAGCGCGCACACACACACACACACACACACACACACACACACACACAUAAAUGCACGUAGGCGCUCACACUCACACAGGAUACAGGUACCCUACGCUGGCCAGGGCCAAUAUACAGCAGCGUUAUGUUGCCGGUUUUAAGAGCUCCAGUGCCAUAUUGUGUGCUUAAACACACACAGUCGUGCAUGCGCGUACACAAACACAAAGACGGUAAGUUGCCUCCCCGUCCCCAGGGGGAUGUUUGACACAGCCGGGGUGCUCCACAGCAUUUAACCUCCCUGUUAAUGAGCAGAGCGCUGUCAGGCAGCCAGCUGGCACCGCCUGGCACGUUGCCCACACACACACACACACACACACACACACACACACACACACGGUUACAUGGACGUACAGUGCGUUCACAAGCACACGCACACACACUCCUGUCUCGCCCCAGCUAUACAACUAACUGUUGCUGCCUCCUGGUGCCCCUUAAUCCCUCCCUCUUUACCUCCCUCCUGCAUUGCCCUACCUCCCCCUCUCUCCCCUCUCCCCUCCCUGCCUCCCUCCCUCGGUCUGUGGCAGCUGCUUAUCCAUGCAGCACUGCAGAUGUCACAAUUCACCAGCUGGGAAACCAGCAGGGGAGGAGAAGGUUUGAGAGGAGAGGAGGGGGGGGGGGCGCGGGGCGUUCGUCGUAGCCUCGGAUUUGACAGAGAAGACACCAACUGGAGGAAGACUUACUAAUUUACUAAUUGAUUCGCUAAUCGAUUUGGGAAUUUGCGGUGUUCAGUUUAGCAUCCUCUGAUACUACGUUACAGGAAUGUGAGAAGUAGCACACAGUCAGUCGUAUCAUUAUUCAUUUGACAUAUAACUCCAUUGAUGAGCGUGUGCCAUUAGGUAGAUCCGAGUGUUAAUGAGCGCGGCAAUUGGCCCGAGCACGGCCCGCUACGUACGGCUGUCUGCAUGUCCACGCGGCAGCCCACCACGCCUGCGUAUUGAUCAGUUAGCUUGGCCUAAUAGGAGAAGAGGAGCCUGACCUGGGAAAGUCAAUAUGGAGAAAAAGAGACAUAUCCUCCACACGUCCUGAGAGAAAAGUGGGAAAGAAAGAGAGAGAGAGGGAGGGAGAGAAAGAGAGAGAGAGAGGGGGGGGUGGGAAACACAUAGAAAGUGAUGUGCAUCCACUACUGUAAUGGUAGGAAAGAGUCUGGAGACUGUCAGACAAACAGCUGGACAAAAGAAAAACAAGCAAAGCCAUGAGGAAAAAAAAUAACUUGACAAUAAUGAACUGCACAGUUUAAAUACCGUAUAACUUUCAAUAACAAAGAAAAGUUUGGAGUUGAAUUAGAACAGUUACGCUGAGGGAUACUGUCGGAGUUAAGCUCCCAAAUGAGAAUCAGGAUAUUCUGUCAAAGCUUUAUUUAAUUUUUUUUUUUCAACCUAACUAACUUGGAGCAUUUGACUGCUUUUGGCAAAAGAAAACAGCACUCAAGUUAACUCUAGAGUAAAAACUCUGCAGGAGAUUAUACGGAGGGAAAAUAAUUAAAAAAUUGGAGGGAGAUGGGAAUAAAAAAAAAAACUGACACCCACGCACACAUCAAUACAUUGAUAGAUCAAUGUGUGUGUGCGCGUGUCUCGGUACACCAUUUCAGUUGAAAUAUAUAAAUAAAGCUGUAGAUAAACAAAAAAACUGAGCAAAUGGGAAAGUAGAUAAAAGACUUGGGUUUCACCAUGUACACGCACACAUGUACAUGCACACGCACACGCAGACACCUGGCUGAGUGAUGCUACCCUGGGGGGUGGCUUCAAUCUGAUGUGUUUAAUGUUGACGCUGGUGGCAAGAAACACACACACACACACACACACACACUCACCCACUGUUUCAACCUGCCUGUCAUCUCAUUUCAUGAGACCUGAUUUACUCAUUUCAUUUUUUCCAUUUUUCUUGUUAUAUGUGCAGCCAUUUAAAACGCUCAAGGUGUGAUGCAAAUCCCCGCGCCUCUGACAGCAAGCGCGCUGGAUGAGGAUCCAUCAUGGCCCCUCAGUGCCUUUUCGCAGGAACGGCAAAGAAACCCUGUGCAGCCACAAACUCAUGUGUGCCCCCGUUGUGCCACGCCACCUUUUCCUGCUUUGCUUGGUGCUUUAAUUGGCUGCACUGCAGGCUGUCAAACUACUGUCAGGUUACUUUCUACCGUAUUUGGAAGUGUACUUAGUUUUCAUAUGACAGCUUUUUGAAAAAAAAAUUAAAGAAAUGGACGGCAAUUUCAUUAUGUUUCACAUCAUUUUGUGAAAUCACACUAAACAUUACAAGGGGGGACUUUAGGGAUAUGGCAUUUGUUCUCUUGUCCUGACAGCGUAUAUUCACGUUAGUGUAUGUUAGGAAGUAGUAUCGAAACCUUCAAUUUACAUUGAACUUAAUGUUUUAUUUGCAGGCUGGUUUUGACUGACAAGAACAGGGUGAGCGUGAUUUGACACUGUGCGACUUAAGCUUCAGCAAACAACGGUCUGGUGAGUCCACGUGUCCAGCAUGCAAAGUCUAGAAAAGGUACAAAUGUAUGAGCAGGCCGAUUCACAUUCAGAAAAUGCUUCUUGCAUUAGUGUUGUCACAACGUGGGAAACUUAAAAUAGGAAUCUGUCUUUUUCCAGAGAGGUCUAAAGUAGAAACAGAGCGAGUAUUCAGGCGCCUCGGAGCACUGCAUGGUGGGAUAUGUCAUAUAGGAAUUUACAUAUUGCCAUGGGGACAGUUGUGUUUGAGUAACUCCCCGAGGAUCCCAAACUCCCUCCAGAGAGACAGACCCCCCCGAGGCCAACACGGUUACCUCUCUCUGCAGCAGAGGACCCGUGUGGUCGAUUCAUGAAGUUAUUAUGAAGAAGCUGUUAGUUAUCUAAGUUAUUAAACUUUUCCGAAGGUAAUAAUUGCUUGUUGAUGAGAGAAGCAGCUCAGGAACUAAACAUCUAAAUAAAGAGUGACGUGCUGACUAUGUCUAUCUAUCUGUACCUUUGUGGGACGGGAGACGCAGGUCCAACCAGCUCAUCCAGGGAACAAGGUCCUCGGAUCAAAGUCAGACACCGCGGCGAGACAUGACACGGGAAAUUUACUCACACACACACACACACGUGUAUUUUUAAAAACGUUAUGACAAUGUGAUGCUUACCGGAUUGCUGGAAUUUGCCUCUUGACAACCAGACACUUUGGUAACAAAAAAACGACAAGAGACUAAAAAAAUAAUAACAGCACGCAACUGGAUGAACAAUUGAUGAAAGAAAAAAAAAAAGGAAGAAACUUUCUGCUUUGCUCAUUUUCAAAACGGGGCCAACGGCAUACAAAUCACCAAAAUCAAAUCAAAAAGCUGACAAGAUCAAAUAUAGAGGAAAGGAAUCGAAGAUGAAAUCUGAAAUACGAUUACUCUAAUGACUUAAUAAUUUGGCCGUCCUCUUGGGGAAUUUAAAAAAAAAAUACGUUUGACGCAAUAGAAGCACAGGAUGUCACUUGAUCUGAAAGAAGGACAUUGAGCUGAAGCAACAGAACACAGUUUGGCUUAGUUAGCUAAAAGUGCACACGCGGACACAAACACACACACAGCGCUCUGUUCCUUCCCAGAUACAGUACGACUCCUUGCACUCGGAUAACCCCCAUCACAUUGCCUGUACCUCUCUGUAGUGUGUGUGUGUGUGUGUGUGUGUGUGUGUGUGAACCACUUGGGUCACAAAUAUAGUUGUUGGGGUCAGUUGUGCAAAGAGAUGAAUGGAGGACAAAAAGAGGGCUAAAAAGUUACGAGGACCCGGCUUUUUAAUUGCGUGGGACUGUUGAGAAAUGGAACUAAACAGACAGGGACAAAAGGGGGGAGGGGCUGGAUACGGACAGGGAGAUGAGGAGGGAAAGUGGGACGCGGGUUCAGGUAGAGAUCACGAGUCGGACUUUCGGAAAGGAGAAAGGCGGCUUUGCGAGAAAGCGGCGAGCGACCCGGCUGCACCGGUGAAAUAUCGGCCACUCUAUCGCUGUGGUGACACGGGUCAUUCUGGGAAAAGGAAAUCAAUGCUGACAGCAAUGACUCACAGGUCAGCAUAUGUGCAUGUGUGCAAGCGCGUGUGCGUGUCUGCUUUAAGUAUGGGCUUUGUUUCAAUUAUGCAUGUGCUACUGUUCGCUACAGGUAUGUGCUCAUCCGCGUGUUUACGUGAAUGCAGGAUGUGGGGCAAGUGAGCGAAUUACACACGAGAACAAGCAACAGCAUCAAAAGAAGAGUACGUGGGGCGGACAUAAAGAUUAAGUCCAUUAUGAGUGUUAAUAGUUAAUAAUUAAAAGUUAAUAGUUUAUGCAUAAUAAUAAAGGCCAACAGACUACAUACGACUAGUUGUUUUUUCUGAUAAAAUAUAAUAAGAUACUAUAACGCCUUUAAAAUCUAACAGCGUAUAAAAAUGUGUAGUAUGUCCUCUCGUUGCAAAGCGGGUCUGUUUCUCCCCCCCCGAACAUAACAACGCACAAAAGACACGUCACAAUUUUCUCCAACACUCACCAAACAUCAGAUCCUAAUUCAGCUGCAAUGUGACAGUGAGACGACCUGGCACUCGGCGGCUGAUACAGGUAGACCGUGUGUGGCUCGGCCGGUGAACGUGUGUGUAACUGUGUGUGUGUGUGUGUGUACGCAUGCCUCACACACCCUUGGGUUAGCAGGAGUUACGACCUGCUUACAUUAUUAAGGUGAGUAGUAGGCUGCGUUGUGUAUGCCUAAACAGCCAGUCCAUUCAUUACAGAUGCAAUCCCCUAAGUACAUGAAUAGGGACGUGGGUUCUCUGGCCCCCCCCCCCCCCCCCCACCCGCCCGCCGCUCUCUGAACUGUAGAGGAGACAAAAUACUGGUGUGAUGCAAGGCGCUUUAGAUAAAUCAGAUGCGGGAGCAAAUUAAUAAUAAAGGAAUAAAACAACAUUAGCUGAUUAAGUAUGUAUGGCAGAGUGGCGGGUGUAAUUUAAAAGGCAGCCGGGGUUGAGUGUCCGGAAUAAGGUCUCAUUAUGGAUCCCGGUGUGUGUGUGUGCGCGCGUGUGUGUGUGUGUGUGUGUCCACCCUGUUGGUAAUCCGUCACCAGUGGCCUCAGCUUUAUGAAAAGGCCUGCAAUCUACGAUAAUGAGCACAGUGAAGGUUAUGACCACGGUGCUCUCAUUUGUUAGACGGAGGGCUUACACACGACUGUCCGUUUGGGAUUCAAUGCUUUCUUUUGAUUAGCUGCAUUUUAAAUGAAAUAAAACAAUACCAACAACGACUGGCGAGGACAUGUGCUCUUAAAGUGGCGUUGAGAAUACAGCAGAGUGCAUGAGAGAGAGGAAGCGAGCGCAUUAUGCAGAUGUUGCAUCACAUCUUAGUUCCAGCAAAGUUUUCUCACCAUGUUUGGAGACGAGACAAGCAGUACAGAGCCUUUCACACAAAAAAGGACAUAUACAACUAUAUUAUAAUAUAAAAAAGUGCAAAAGGCCACUGUACUUCGACUGUGAGAAAGAAAGGAACUAAACUCAUCGAAGCAACUCGAUCACUUCACUUGGUCUCCUCCAACGCAUCCUAUGCGUUCCUACGUCUCCUUUCCCCUCAGCUUUAUUUAUCCCCCCAUGUUUAUUUUCCAUCCAAAAAUAGCCGGCCAUUUACGCCGUCAUGCCAUUUUCCCACUCCCCUUCCAUUCCUUUUGUCUGGAGCUAGGUCAACCGAAAGCAACCGAGGAGGAAAAAAAAACAAAAAGCAGCGCUGCGUGUGUGCGUGUGAGUCACCAGAUCACAACCGAGAGCGAGGAAUGAAAAACAUCAGACAAAGCGACUCUCGGCGAUGACGAACCGCAAGGAACAACGGCAGAGUCUCGUCCUAGUAUGUCACGGGCUGCAUGUUUAGAGUGAGCGUACUAGAAAUGUGGACUUAAAUCUUUGUAGAGUGAUGCAACCAUGACGAUAAACAACAAACAAACAUCCGCAGCCUUGUAUUUAGGGGCUUUUUCUUGUUAGAAUGAUAUUGUAUAGUAUGCACACACAUACACACAAGUUUGGUUUGGCAUUCUGACCGUUUCUUACAACAUCUUCUAAAAAUAAUUGUCCAAUCUGGGAGUCUGCAUAUUUAAAAACAGAAAUGCAAGACUUGAUUAAAGUGGCCACAAAUACCAACAGCUCAUUUAAACCUUCUACCCUUUCCCAACAAAUGCAGCACGUACAUUCAGGUCUGUUAAACCGUUGAUAAAACCAGAAUCAAAUAGGCAAUAGACGGUUAUGUGGGUUACUUCUUACUUACAUUUCUUAUUGUCUCUGUCACACUAUAGUGUGGGACUACGCUCUGGUGCCUUUGAGGGGCUCAAGAGUACGGUUUCUUUUAAUAGCCAACUCUAUAGGUUAAAGGUUUAUUUUGACCAUACCAGAAUUGGUGAUUGUUGUUACAGUAGUAAAACUAACAGCUGAGUUUGAAGAAAAUAAAUUGUGACGACCAGGCAGGUCAAAUGAUGUCUGUUGUCGUGGCUUUGAUGAACAUAUAUUGAUUGCAUGUUGUGCAUGGCAAUAAAUUGUAAUAAUUAUACAAAUCCACGUUGGCUUCAUUAAAAAAAUAUAUAUUCCCCCUCGGCAUCUAAUGCGCCGGCAUUAUAAAAGGGAAAACGUCCACCGCGGUGUCAUGUUCACGCCGAUGAAGAUCAUAGCCGGAGCCAAUAAAUACCUGUGACUACGGCGGAAAUUGAUCCUUCCUGGAAUUCCUCCAAAUUGUACCCUUUCCUACUUCAUCCACCCACAGUGACAGAUGUCUGCCUGGUUUAUAGACGAGACAAACCAUUUGCCAAAUAAACUUCCCUUUUUUUUAACGUACCCUCUGUCCUUUGGAAGAAGCAGCGCUGUGUCAGUGUGCAGGUUCAGGUUCUGCUCCAGACAUGCUAACGGGUUAGCAUGUCUGGAGCAGGACUGCUAAUAGCUUGAAGGGAUUUUUACUACAUACUAUUUUUGCAGUUUAUCGAUGCGUCAUACAGGUUUUCUAAAAUGACAGAAAACUCAAACGACGGUUCUGUAGUGCCCACGGGGACGUUUUCAAUUUGAGCAACCAAAAGUCCAUAUCCGAUAUUUAAAUUACAUUAGAAAACCAACAGGAGAAUACCAAAGACUUGACAUUUGAACCGGGAACUCACGCUUUUUUUAAUGUUAUACGUGAUUAAAUGAUUAGUGUGCUAAUAACAUUGCCAGAUCAGUUUCCAGCUGCUCGGAAACUGAAUUGACUAAUUGUUCCAUUACCAAAUUUACUGAAUUUUGUGGGGGGUGGGUGGUGGGGGGGGGGAGACACAUCUAUGUUGAGUUUUGUCCGCCGAUUUCGAAAACAACAUUUGUGUAGUUUCCCAAAACCGAAGCGAAAUCAAAUAAUAAGCGUACAGGAUUUCGCAGCCAUCCGGGGUAUCAGAUGGACCGGUUACAGCUCGGGCUGAUAUAUUAACAAAGGUUUACAAGGGCAGAGCGCGACAUGCAAGUUUGGCCUUAUGGCUGACCUUACAAUGCACUUAGUAUCCUGUACAGGGAGUAAUGCUGCAGCCACUCCUACAAGCCAUUUAUUGCAGCUAACGACCGUCAAGCCCUCAUAAAUCAGCAUUAGGAACCUCUUUUGCCCUCUCUCUCUCUCUCUCUCUCGCGUUUAGUCUCCCCCCUCUGUGGCUGCCUCCUUUUCUGGCAGAUUUCUCUCAUACGCCUUCUUGUCCUCACCCUUGUCCACUCAUUUUUACAUUUUACCCGUUUUUUUUAAAGCUGCGACUCCCGCGUGGUCCCACUUCUUUGUCCGUUUGUCCGUAUCCAUCCGUCUCCGCCUUAUUUGGUUUGUCAGGCUCUCCUUUCAAAUAACUGCUUCCUCUUUUCUCUGCCCGUCCGUCUUGUCCUACUCCCGCGUUCUCACCUUUUCCCGGCCUUCCUGUUUUUUACGCCCUACUCCUCUUACCCCCCCCCUGCCAGCCGUCCUCUCUCACCACCUCUUUCGGGAUAAAUUCCUCUCCCUGCAGAUAGAGACGGCAUCCCUGAGCUGUCUAACCCGGUAUUGGCACCUCUAUUGAUUUUAAUUAAGCUAAUUAGUUCAUCAUUUGAAGGCUCAAACAGGGGGGGGGAUCCAUUAUUGCAUAGAGGGAGGCUGGCGGGUUAGGGUGGGAGUGGGGGGCACCGGUAAGGGUGGGGGUUAGAGAAGUUAAUAUGGUAAUGAAGACGAUCAAUUAUCACUCACGGCAAAGUCAUUAACAACAGCAUUAGCAUAGUCAACCAUCGUCACCCCCUGACCUCCCCUGCUCCCUCUCUCCCUCCCUCCCUCCCAGCUGCUACACAAGCAGAUGUGGAUGUGCGCGAUAGAGGGGGGGGGGGGUUGAUGAAGGUCACACAGUUCAGAGACUUGUUUUUUUAUGCAGACCUGAAUUGAGUUUCCACCUCGUCUCAUCGACUGGAGCGGAGCGCUCCCCGGGCUCGGGCCGGUUUGGAGCAACUCGUUUUUUCCUUCUUCACGCUUCUUGCGCUCAAGGCAUGAACAAGGCGGCCAGCCGAAUUCUGUUCUUCUUCAGUUAUCAAUGACAUUAGGAUCUUCCUGAGGGGGGAAAAACAAGGGUAUAAAUGCAUUGGUGACUUGUUCCUUUAAUGUGCCGUUUGGUUGAAAUGGGUGUGAAGGGCGCUGCUACAGACGGGUGCUCCACUCGACAGGAAGGAGGAGGUUCUCACGAGCAGGGAUUAAGUCAUCAGACCAAUUUUAUCAUCUGGUUCCUGAGCAUUCUAAUAGCCCCUGUUCUGUGGUUUAUGGGGGUCAUAAAUAGUCACUUAGUUCACCAAAAAACUGGAGAGACUCUCGUCACAGCUGGAGACAUUCCCAGCAUUCAGUAAGGCAACGUUGUUGUCGUCGCUUGUUAUGACCCAUUUGUUUAAUAAGACGAAACAAAUUGGGCUUCUUGAGGAAUGAGGAUCGCUCACAAACAAGGAAAGCUCACUAAAUGGAAUACCUUCACGCGGGCGUUUUAAAUAUGCCGGUAUGGUAACAAUUUGAGGACGGUGUGGGAAUGGUGAGAUGACGAGCGGGCGAGUGAUCCUAAAUGAUCCCUACUGAUCUGUUCUGAUCUACUCUGAUCCCUCACAGUCCCCCCCCACCACCGUACUGCCCUGGAGCUAAACUCUGCGAAUUAAAAAAAAAUCUACCCAACAGGCAAACAUGCACUGAUAGAUUUAGAAAAAAAUAUGGAAAAAAGGACUACAAACCAAUGUACCGUCUUACCGCUGUUAUAAAAUAUGACCACAUGCAACAACAUAUUAACUCUGAGCAUGGAUGAUUUCCUAAUAUGAGUCUUAUAAAAAGGCAAGUGGCCUUUCUGAGACCACCAUCUGGCCAACAAGAGUUGCUCCAGAAGUUGUUCUGUAACUGCCCGCGCGCCCCUGACCUGCCUUGAAUGACGUACGGGGGAAAAAAUAUUACUACCGAGAUCAAUAAAGUGACAAUUUUAUUGCAUUACAUGAUUACUUAUCCUUAAGGUGCCCAAAAGCUGUCCAACACGGGGGAAUAAACCAGAUGACUGGAAGGAAAUGACUAUGAGGAAGGUCCCCAGAACUUUCCAAAAUCUUUGGGCUCACACAAUGCUUUUUAUUUUCAACAGAAUUAAAGUUCAGCAUUUUCCAUGUUUUUUUUUUUUUCUUCCCCCCCCCCCCCCACAGUUUAGAGGGCUACCUAAUAAAAAGUUAUUAUUCUCAGAGUCCUGCUGCAACUGGGAAAAACACAGAUGUGUCCAUAGUGAGCCGUGUCAAUGAAAACUACACUUCAGGAUGGAAGGAAGCUCACAGAAAUCACUCUGGAUGUAGUUUUCACCCACAACACUGAUGGGCUUGAUCGAGUCAGUAGCGUCACAUCCAAAGAGGAGAGAUUGAAUGUAUUUUAAGGUGAUUCUGCAAUGACCUCCGAACUGAUCUGAAGCUACGGGUACGGGCGAUACUGCCCCGUAACCACGGGUUAAAAUAGAUAUUUAGACCUAUUGAGAAAGUACCCGUUAAUUCAGGUUUAUACUGAAUGCAGCUACAUCCGUCCGCCGAUGGAUGACAAACGAACAACAGGCAAAUCGCCGGAGUCUAGAAAAGAAAACGCAAGCCUUCGAUUUCAUGACAUUAUGACCACGAAACAAACUCUGUUUAGUGUCCAUUACAGUUCGACCCUAUUGUGCAUCAACAAGACCAUACACUACGAUUCAAUCAGACGUUAGCCAAGCUCCUAUUACGGAGCUCAUUGCAUCGUUUACAUGGUGGAACGGUCCAUAAGUAGCUCUAAAUGCUCUUCAUUUGAUUGGAUUUCACAUUAUGGACAUCAGAGCAGAAACACACUGUUGUCCCCCGGCUGUCCUAAUAGACUGUUGAGUGAAACAGUCCAUUCGUUUGUAUUUGUUUACCAAUCUAGACCCCGCAAACACACACAGUAACAGACAGUGAGAGCAUCGUUUAAGACGGGUGAAAAUGGAGAUUCUAAAAAGCGAGGAAGACGGAUGGACAGCUCGGACACACGGUGUCUCCUUGACGGUCAAGUGAGGCUGCAGCCGUCACAAACAAUAACAAAACGGUGCAAUUAAAUGAACCAAAGGACUCGUUUACAUCGUUUUUCCUUUAACUAUUCCUUCUUUAACGGUAUUUCUUUAGCAUCCGCAAGAGCGCUUAAUAAACGAUCCUCCAAUUCAAAUUGCUGAUAAUAACAUGUGAGAACUGAUCAAGGCCAUCGCCAUUGUUCAGUACACAUGUCUUUUUGCACUGCAGCUUGCAACAACAACAAAGAAUAGAUAUUAGUGAAUGUAAAGGCACUUGAGCCGUGCGUAUGGAGGAGGAACCGCGGAGAUUGUGUUAUUUAAUGUUGUGUUGCUAAAAGAAUGUCGUGCGGUUUCAAAAGUUAAAAAUGGAAGAAAAAAAAAAAACUAAGAAAUGCAAAGCAUUGUAUUUCAAUGAUCUUCCUGACCGGCGCAGAGAGCGCACAAAGGCACAUCCCUCUGACCUUCUCCGUAAUAGCAGAUAAGUACUUUGAUGGGUAAAAGGCCAUAAUUUACUUUUCAGUGUUCAAACUCCACUCAGAAGAGCCAAUAUUGAUGGAGACCCGGCCAGAACUGAAAUGGAACAAUACCUUAAAGUCACCACACCAAGCGGUGAUGAUGAAAGGAGCAUUUUUGCACACAGAUUUCUGUCUCAGUAAAGAAUUUCUGCUAGUAAAAAAAGAAAAAGAAAAAGAAAAACUGUUGUCCAUCCUUGUCCCAGUUGCUCUUCUACGUUAUUAUUCUAUGCUUAUCCUUCUUUGUAUUAAAAAAAAUGAGGGAUUUUCAUGUACUCAACUCUUAAGCACAUGAAAACUUUGAGAUGUGUGAACAAAGAAAAGGAAAAGACGUCUCUUUUUUUAUUCAUCGUUUUCUCUCGGUUGUACAAAUCCAUCCGUUUUAAUGCCCGCUUGAUGUUUUCAUAUAGAUUUGGGUUUAUGAGCAGACGUGUCAUCCUAUUGACAUAUGCUUUUCUAUCCCUCCAUAAUCCAAAACGCCCUAACUUCGCCUGUGU